GACGAACGCUGGCGGCGUGCUUUAUACAUGCAAGUCGAACGAUGAAGUUCCUUCGGGAAUGGAUUAGUGGCGAACGGGUGAGGAACACGUGAGAAACCUGCCUUUCAUUCUGGCAUAACACCGGGAAACCGGUGCUAAUACCGUAUACUCCGUCUUUGCGGCAUCGCCGAGCCGGGAAAAAAUUUUGAUGAAACAGUGUCUCGCGGCCUAUCAGCUAGUUGGUGAGGUAGAGGCUCAACAAGGCGACGACGGUUAGCCGGCCUGAGAGGGCGACCGGCCAGACUGGGACUGAGACACGGCCCAGACUCCUACGGGAGGCAGCAGUAGGGAAUAUUGGGCAAUGGGCGCAAGCCUGACCCAGCGACGCCGCGUGAGGGAUGAAGGUCUUCGGAUUGUAAACCUCUUUCAGUAGGGAAGAAGCGAAAGUGACGGUACCUAAAGAAGAAGCACCGGCUAACUAUGUGCCAGCCGCCGCCGUAA
This 480-nucleotide ribosomal RNA is filed under the name uncultured bacterium. Its description in RNAcentral is "partial 16S ribosomal RNA". It matches the Rfam family "Bacterial small subunit ribosomal RNA", at positions 28 to 523 of the family's 1533-position model. The record is from RNAcentral.